GAAGAUCACAUUUCCAAGCGGAGAGGUCGGUUUCGUGAGGGGAGGGCGGGGGCACGAGGGAUGGGCGGUGAGGGGCAGAUAGAAGAGGGAGAAACUUCUUCUACCUGCCUCUCCCUCUCUCCUGGUCACACCCCUCCCCCUCUCUACGUUCUUCAUACCUUCGUCGCUAAGUGCAGUGAUCUGAGAUGU
This 189-nucleotide small nucleolar RNA is filed under the name Leishmania donovani. RNAcentral describes it as "H/ACA box snoRNA LD36Cs2'H1". Lineage: Eukaryota; Euglenozoa; Kinetoplastea; Trypanosomatida; Trypanosomatidae. The record is from RNAcentral.